RNAcentral lists this transfer RNA (77 nucleotides) under Mycobacterium tuberculosis. Its description in RNAcentral is "tRNA-His". It matches the Rfam family "tRNA". From Rfam's summary of the family: Transfer RNA (tRNA) molecules are approximately 80 nucleotides in length. Their secondary structure includes four short double-helical elements and three loops (D, anti-codon, and T loops). RNAcentral also lists the same sequence under 10 other names. The record is from RNAcentral. Lineage: Bacteria; Bacillati; Actinomycetota; Actinomycetes; Mycobacteriales; Mycobacteriaceae.
GCGACCGUAGCUCAGUUGGUUAGAGCGCUGGUUUGUGGUACCAGAGGUCGCGGGUUCGGAUCCCGUCGGUCGCCCCA